This 891-nucleotide ribosomal RNA is filed under the name Kitasatospora sp. H3BS8_pA. RNAcentral's name for it is "bacterial SSU rRNA". It matches the Rfam family "Bacterial small subunit ribosomal RNA", at positions 8 to 916 of the family's 1533-position model. The record is from RNAcentral. Lineage: Bacteria; Bacillati; Actinomycetota; Actinomycetes; Kitasatosporales; Streptomycetaceae.
AGAGUUUGAUCCUGGCUCAGGACGAACGCUGGCGGCGUGCUUAACACAUGCAAGUCGAACGAUGAAGCCUUCGGGUGGAUUAGUGGCGAACGGGUGAGUAACACGUGGGAAAUCUGCCCUGCACUCUGGGACAAGCCUUGGAAACGAGGUCUAAUACCGGAUAUGACCUGUCCUCGCAUGGGGAUGGGUGGAAAGCUCCGGCGGUGCAGGAUGAUCCCGCGGCCUAUCAGCUUGUUGGUGGGGUAAUGGCCUACCAAGGCGACGACGGGUAGCCGGCCUGAGAGGGCGACCGGCCACACUGGGACUGAGACACGGCCCAGACUCCUACGGGAGGCAGCAGUGGGGAAUAUUGCACAAUGGGCGAAAGCCUGAUGCAGCGACGCCGCGUGAGGGAUGAAGGCCUUCGGGUCGUAAACCUCUUUCAGCAGGGAAGAAGCGCAAGUGACGGUACCUGCAGAAGAAGCACCGGCUAACUACGUGCCAGCAGCCGCGGUAAUACGUAGGGUGCGAGCGUUGUCCGGAAUUAUUGGGCGUAAAGAGCUCGUAGGCGGCUUGUCACGUCGGAUGUGAAAGCCCGGGGCUUAACCCCGGGUCUGCAUUCGAUACGGGCAGGCUAGAGUGUGGUAGGGGAGAUCGGAAUUCCUGGUGUAGCGGUGAAAUGCGCAGAUAUCAGGAGGAACACCGGUGGCGAAGGCGGAUCUCUGGGCCAUUACUGACGCUGAGGAGCGAAAGCGUGGGGAGCGAACAGGAUUAGAUACCCUGGUAGUCCACGCCGUAAACGGUGGGAACUAGGUGUUGGCGACAUUCCACGUCGUCGGUGCCGCAGCUAACGCAUUAAGUUCCCCGCCUGGGGAGUACGGCCGCAAGGCUAAAACUCAAAGGAAUUGACGG